GGGGGCGCACCGGUUUCGACUGGGAUCACAACCCUUCUGUGGCAUGUCGCGGAGGUCCGUUGGCCGCGUUAACAAUCGGGCAAAAUCAUAACUGCGAACAACGAAUUCGCUCUUGCUGCCUAAUUAAAGGCAACGACGCUUCCCAUCCCUUCCGCCUGCGGGGGAUCUGAAGCGAGGUUAGCAGGCUGGCCGAUUUUCCGCCCGUCGGGAA
This 211-nucleotide transfer-messenger RNA is filed under the name bacterium. RNAcentral describes it as "partial transfer-messenger RNA". It matches the Rfam family "transfer-messenger RNA", at positions 1 to 229 of the family's 374-position model. From Rfam's summary of the family: Bacterial tmRNA, also known as 10Sa RNA or SsrA, is named for its dual tRNA and mRNA-like properties. The record is from RNAcentral.